UUUAGGCUGGGUUUCUGUACAGCACUUUGAGAUAUCAGCUGAUGUACGAAGGGCUAUAUAAAUAAAUUUGAUUUGAUUUGAUAUCAUAAGCCAAGUUGUAUUUGCUACUUAUUAUGAAAUGUUCAUGGCUUACAUGUCAUUUCAUCCAGGGUUGGGGUCAAAUCCAUUUCAAUUCUAGUCAAUUUAGGAAAUAUACUGAAAAUCCAAUUUACCUUAAUGAGGAAAAUGUUGAAUUGGAAUUUGGUUUACUUUUUGAAUUGAAUGGAAUUGACCUCAACCCUGAUUUCAUCCACUCAGUCAGUCAGUCAGUCAGUGUGCAUCCACUACAGGUGGAUAUGGAGGCUUUCUUUACUCUGACAGAUGGAGAUUUAAAGGAAUUGGGGAUUAAGACAGAUGGGCCGAGGUAUCAAAUACUGGCAGCAAUUUCUGAACUCAAUGCUGGGAAGGUCAUUUUCAUUCUUUACUAAACCCCCUUUCUGUGUUCCCUGCCUAUUUAUUUGUUUUAUUUAUAUAGUGUUUAGUUACCAAAGAGGGUUUACACCUUGAUACAUCCAAUGAAAAUAUAGAAAUUAUUAUUAUUCACCUGAAUUGUUGCUGCAGGGGAGAGAGGCAGAUUUUGCAGUAGACCAUCCACAACAUCCAGUCCUCCUUUGGCAGCAGUACCAGUAACCCCAGACCACCAGGACAUCUACGCUUUCCUACAGGCUGGGUCCGACACCAGGUGCGCACCUCUAACAAGAGGUAACAGGCAUGACACUCCGAUUGAAGACCAACCGUAUAGGAAGUCAGAGUUGACCCUAUAACCCAGGUGUGAGGAGACUCUUCUGGACGCCAGUGUUACAGAACACUCCCAGUGGGGGAGAACACUGCAGCAAAGAACCCACUGAAGGGACCCCAUGACCCACAACUGGGAGGUGGUCUGCUACUUACCGACAUAGCACAACGUGACGUGCAGCCAUCCUUCAUUGCCAUGGCAACAGGGCUGUCAUAGGGGAGAUACAGUAGAGGGAGUGAGCGGGUACUAGGAAAGAAAAUGUCUAGUCAUGCCUUAAUGGAUGUGGGAGAUGAAAGCCUUUAGGCUGAGAUUGAGACUGUUGCGACAAGCGCUGAUGAUGUACGAGAGAGUGAGUGAGAACGGACUUUCAGGCCCAGUUCCCUAGAUACAGAUUAUGUCUAGUCCUGGACUAAAAAGUACAUCCAAUUGAGAGUCUCUAUUGAACAUGCUUCUAAAUCCAAGACUAGUCUUAAUCUGUGUCUGGGAAACUGGCCCAUUCUUAAUGAAUGUGGGAGAUAAAGGUUUAAAAGGCUGGAAUUAAGAUUGUCGCACACUGAUGAUGUAAGUGAUUGGAGGAAUUCUGGUUUGCCAGAAUGAUGAGAGGGAAGAUUGUCCUCAUUUUUUGAUUUGUCUGAUUUUUCUGUUUUUUUCAGCCUCUUUCUUUUUCCACAUUCGUUUUGGCUAUUUCACUAUUGUAAGUGUUGUUACUAGUUACUGUACUAAGUCUAGUGAUUUGUGUGUGUAAACAAAGUGGGGUUUAGUCUGAUGAUGAAUGUAGUAACUGGCUGAACUGCCAUUAUUAAACCUUAUGAAAAGAUGGACCGUGUUCUUCUUUUGUUAGUAUUCAGAUUACUGCCAACCUACACAUUGCUCUCUACAGACUGUAGAGUGCACACUAACUCAACUUUCUCUGUCAUGGUUUUUGGCUUCCAAAA
Oncorhynchus mykiss (rainbow trout) is the source of this 1710-nucleotide non-coding RNA. NCBI's taxonomy places the organism in Eukaryota, Metazoa, Chordata, Actinopteri, Salmoniformes, Salmonidae. The record is from RefSeq and is a predicted model, not a curated record.